AGACCCGAAACCCGGUGAUCUAGCCAUGGGCAGGUUGAAGGUUGGGUAACACUAACUGGAGGACCGAACCGACUAAUGUUGAAAAAUUAGCGGAUGACCUGUGGCUGGGGGUGAAAGGCCAAUCAAACCGGGAGAUAGCUGGUUCUCCCCGAAAGCUAUUUAGGUAGCGCCUCGUGAAUUCAUCUCCGGGGGUAGAGCACUGUUUCGGCUAGGGGGCCAUCCCGGCUUACCAACCCGAUGCAAACUGCGAAUACCGGAGAAUGUUAUCACGGGAGACACACGGCGGGUGCUAACGUCCGUCGUGAAGAGGGAAACAACCCAGACCGCCAGCUAAGGUCCCAAAGUCAUGGUUAAGUGGGAAACGAUGUGGGAAGGCCCAGACAGCCAGGAUGUUGGCUUAGAAGCAGCCAUCAUUUAAAGAAAGCGUAAUAGCUCACUGGUCGAGUCGGCCUGCGCGGAAGAUGUAACGGGGCUAAACCAUGCACCGAAGCUGCGGCAGCGACACUCAGGUGUUGUUGGGUAGGGGAGCGUUCUGUAAGUCUGCGAAGGUGGCCUGUGAGGGUUGCUGGAGGUAUCAGAAGUGCGAAUGCUGACAUAAGUAACGAUAAAGCGGGUGAAAAGCCCGCUCGCCGGAAGACCAAGGGUUCCUGUCCAACGUUAAUCGGGGCAGGGUGAGUCGACCCCUAAGG
RNAcentral lists this ribosomal RNA (689 nucleotides) under Salmonella enterica subsp. enterica serovar Infantis. Its description in RNAcentral is "partial 23S ribosomal RNA". It matches the Rfam family "Bacterial large subunit ribosomal RNA", at positions 711 to 1396 of the family's 2925-position model. The record is from RNAcentral. Lineage: Bacteria; Pseudomonadati; Pseudomonadota; Gammaproteobacteria; Enterobacterales; Enterobacteriaceae.